CCCGCCAUGACCGUUCCUCGUUGUUUUGCUUUUUACGACAAAAAAACUAGAAUUUCGCCCGAUUCCCAUAUUUUCAUGUGCUCUAGCCCACGCCUUCCGAGUGGGCCCGGCUCCCCCGAAACUGGAUUGCCUAACAUUUUUCCAGGCCAUCAAAUAUGACCCGAGGAACCAUAAUCACCUCCGAGUGGGUUCGGACCCCGAUCACAUAAAAUUAUUCCGAGCCAUCAAAUACGACCUAAGGAACCAUAGUCACUGCCCGCCGUGUCCGUUCCUUGUUAUUUUUAUUUUACGGCCAAAAAACUAGAUUUCCGCCCGAUUCCCAUAUAUUCGUGUGCUAUAGCCCACGCCUUCCUAGUGGGUCCGGGCCCCACAGACUCCUAUCGCCUAAAAAUUUUCCAGGCCAUCAAAUACGACCAAAGGAACCAUAGUCACCGCCUCGCCAUGGCCGU
RNAcentral lists this long non-coding RNA (449 nucleotides) under Nicotiana tabacum (common tobacco). RNAcentral describes it as "long non-coding RNA (NTAB_LNC018007)". Lineage: Eukaryota; Viridiplantae; Streptophyta; Magnoliopsida; Solanales; Solanaceae. The record is from RNAcentral.